CUCGUGGCUAGUUCAGGCGGAAGGAGCAGUCCUCUGAAGCUUGAGGAGCCUCUAGAACUAUGAGCCCGAGGCCUUCCCCUUUCCCAGAGCGCAGAGGCUUUGAAGGCUACCUCUGGGAAGCCGCUCACCGUCGGAAGCUGCGGGAGCUGAAACUGCGCCAUCGUCACUGUCGGCGGCCAUGAUACCUCUCGUCUCCCGCCUGAGUCGUCAGCGGGCCAUCAUGAGGAAGCCACGAGCAGCCGUGGGAAGUGGUCACAGGAAGCAGGCAGCCAGCCAGGAAGGGAGGCAGAAGCGUGCUAAGAACAACAGUCAGGCCAAGCCUUCUGCCUGUGAUGGCAGAAGAUGAGGUGGACCUGGACAGGCGGGCAUAUGCUGGUCAGUACAUCUCCUGAGAGCAGGGCUACUUUGCCUCGAGGCCCUUGGGUCUGGGGGCUGUGGGCCAGGUAGGGCAGGUCAGCAGUGUCCUCAUGCCAACCCCUUUCCCCUAGUGUGGGUCUCAGAGGUCAUGCUGCAGCAGACCCAGGUUGCCACUGUGAUCAACUACUAUACCGGAUGGAUGAAGGUGACUCCAGGGGAGGAAGGGAAGGGUCAUGGGUCAGACCCCAGAUGAGAGCCUGUACUUUGGGGUGGGUGUAGAGAAGGCUUCCUCUACCACCUUCGCCCUUGACCUUGUCUUUUUCUGCCUGCCUGUGGCUAUAGAAGUGGCCUACACUGCAGGACCUGGCCAGUGCUUCCCUGGAGGUGAGAGCCACCCUAGGGUAGGGGAAAUAGGAAUGAUAGAGGGACUGAAGGGUGAUCUCUUUGACCUCUGAUCCUACC
RNAcentral lists this small RNA (819 nucleotides) under Pongo abelii (Sumatran orangutan). RNAcentral describes it as "retained intron". The record is from RNAcentral. Lineage: Eukaryota; Metazoa; Chordata; Mammalia; Primates; Hominidae.